Molecule: long non-coding RNA, 458 nt
Filed under: Equus asinus (donkey)
Lineage: Eukaryota; Metazoa; Chordata; Mammalia; Perissodactyla; Equidae
Description: lncRNA (ENSEASG00005029048.1)
Source: RNAcentral
GAUUCAGGAGAUAGGAAGGCAGCUUCCCUGGGUAUGUGGCUGUACUUUAAUUGCUACUCAGAACAAAGCCUAUCUAGGCUGUGGAGUUGUGUUCAUAUUCCUCACUGAGAAAUUAAACAUCGUGGCUGUCCAGUAAAUAGAUUUCCCAAGCAUCUGGAUGGAAGCUCAAGCCUAGUGAAGUAUGACACAUCUGUAAGGAUUGCAACCAGGAUACCAAGGCUGUCUCACUUUUAAAGGUGUUAAUUUUGACCAGUGGGUUCAAGUGUUUUCAGGUGACAUAGCUACUAUUUAAAGUUCUACAAGGGGCUGGCCCGGUGGCCGAGUGGUUAAGUUCCCGCCUUCUGCAUCACCAGCCCAGGGUUUUGCCGGCUCGGAUCCUGGGCGCGGACAUGGAGCCGCUCACCAGUCCACGCUGGGGCGGCCUCCCACAUAGCACAACCAGAAGGAUCUACAACUAU